CACGUAGGGACCGAGCGUUGUCCGGAUUUAUUGGGCGUAAAGGGCUCGUAGGCGGCCAACUAAGUCAUACGUGAAAUCCCUCAGCUUAACUGGGGAACUGCGUGUGAUACUGGAUGGCUUGGAUUUGGGAGAGGGAUGCGGAAUUCCAGGUGUAGCGGUGAAAUGCGUAGAUAUCUGGAGGAACACCGGUGGCGAAGGCGGCAUCCUGGACCAAUAUUGACGCUGAGGAGCGAAAGCUAGGGGAGCAAACGGG
RNAcentral lists this ribosomal RNA (253 nucleotides) under uncultured bacterium. RNAcentral's name for it is "partial 16S ribosomal RNA". It matches the Rfam family "Bacterial small subunit ribosomal RNA", at positions 524 to 776 of the family's 1533-position model. The record is from RNAcentral.